RNAcentral lists this ribosomal RNA (495 nucleotides) under uncultured bacterium. Its description in RNAcentral is "partial 16S ribosomal RNA". It matches the Rfam family "Bacterial small subunit ribosomal RNA", at positions 28 to 507 of the family's 1533-position model. The record is from RNAcentral.
GACGAACGCUGGCGGCGUGCCUAAUACAUGCAAGUAGAACGCUGAAGGAGGAGCUUGCUCUUCUGGAUGAGUUGCGAACGGGUGAGUAACGCGUAGGUAACCUGCCUGGUAGCGGGGGAUAACUAUUGGAAACGAUAGCUAAUACCGCAUAACAGUAGAUGUUGCAUGACAUUUGCUUAAAAGGUGCAAUUGCACCACUACCAGAUGGACCUGCGUUGUAUUAGCUAGUUGGUGGGGUAACGGCUCACCAAGGCGACGAUACAUAGCCGACCUGAGAGGGUGAUCGGCCACACUGGGACUGAGACACGGCCCAGACUCCUACGGGAGGCAGCAGUAGGGAAUCUUCGGCAAUGGACGGAAGUCUGACCGAGCAACGCCGCGUGAGGGAAGAAGGUUUUCGGAUCGUAAAGCUCUGUUGUAAGAGAAGAACGAGUGUGAGAGUGGAAAGUUCACACUGUGACGGUAUCUUACCAGAAAGGGACGGCUAACUACGUG